RNAcentral lists this long non-coding RNA (785 nucleotides) under Apis mellifera (honey bee). Its description in RNAcentral is "uncharacterized LOC113218598, transcript variant X3". Lineage: Eukaryota; Metazoa; Arthropoda; Insecta; Hymenoptera; Apidae. The record is from RNAcentral.
UUAUCGUUUGAUUCGAUUAUCGCAACGAAUAUGAUCAGUGUACGACAUGAUGUUCACAGUGAAGUAAAAAAAUUUAUAUUCGUGACAUGUGAGUGGGAAUAUUAUAAAGAAAAUAAAUGGAAAGAGGUCAAGAACAUCUCGAAAUUUCUUCAAAUUUCUCCAGUUUGAAACAAAACUUUCACGAGCUUUGGUAGAAAAAGUUACUUCAUUACAAGAGCCAACCAAUGAUAUCUGUCGAUAUCGAAGAGGAAACUUCAACUUCCAACCAGGUUCCAGCUUAUAGACCCGGUUAAACGACGUUAUAAUUGUGAAACGAGACGACGACGACGACGACGACGAGGAACGAAUCCAAUCCAAUUACGCCGUAGUCACGACGCCCAAGGUCGAACGGUCCUCGAUCCCGAGGGAAAAACCGGUGGUUAAGAAACGACACCACAGAGUCGCCUCGAUUAAUAGAGUUCUCGGAUACGAGAUGAAGGAGGAGGAGGAGGAGGAGGAGGAUCGAGGACGUUCGCCAACGGGGUUCCUCUUAUCCCAAGGUCAUCGGCGUCAACCGCCGUUUCUAUUAAGGGAUGAACACGUUAGUUAGGAUAAGCACGUUUAGCGGAUUUCUUUAAUGCUGUGUUUCUUGCAGUCUUGGAGUUUUUAACGCAGAGACGUAUCCUUUUAUUUCGUUAGAAAUAUAUUUCGAAGGAUAAAAUUAUUCAAUUAUUGGAUUAUCGUAGAAAUUAUUUAAUAGUGAAGAAUUUCAAAACCUAAUCUUAAAAAUAAGAUGAACAAACAAC